Molecule: long non-coding RNA, 1908 nt
Organism: Meriones unguiculatus (Mongolian gerbil)
Lineage: Eukaryota; Metazoa; Chordata; Mammalia; Rodentia; Muridae
Exons: 3
Source: RefSeq, a predicted model, not a curated record
UCCAGCAACCUAUAGUCAUCUUUCAAUUGGAACAUUACAUUCAUACUAAAAUAACUAUUACUGAUUUUAAAUAUGCCAUCUUGAGUUUCCAUUUUUAUUCAUGUUCUUUUUGUCUCUUGAACUUAAAAAUGAAAUUAACCCUAAUACUUUUAAAUGUUUCAUUUAAUCUCAUUUUACUAAAUUGUUGGGACCACAAAGGUUCUUGCACGCACAGCAGGCACUAGGGAAACCAGGCAUGUUAAAACACCCAGGGCUGUAUUUUCAAAGGAAAAGAUGGACGACCUGUUUCCUGUCCAUAGGGCUGGGAAUGGAGGUAGAUAAAAGCUUAGGCAGCUCCUGUGCUCUGUGUAGAGCCAGGCAACACAGCCAUGCGAUCCAGAAAUCACCUACACUAUUUGCUGUCUGAAAGUUUACUUCAACAAUUUGAAAAAAGUUUUUAUGUAUGUACGUGUGUGUGAAUUUGUGUUUGUGUGUACCACGUGUGCGGUCCCGUGGAGGUGGAGUUAGAGGCAGUUGUGAGUUGCUUGGCGUGGCUGUGGGGAACAGAAGCUGAGUCCUCUGGAGGAGCAGCAACUCUGUAUCCUUCCAUCUUCCAGCACAGGUUCUGUGUAUGGAAUUCUAGGCUGGGUCAGGGUAAGCCACUGCAGUCAGCCAGGACUGAGCUCCACUCCCUCAGGACAGAGUAUCUGAGCUGUAUAUCCUGGACCCUCAUUCCUGCUGGCACUCACCCCUGGGGGAAGGUCACCUAGGCGCUCACCUUUGUAGUUUGUUUUUUGUUUUGUUUUUGCUGUUUGAGACAAGGUUUCUCUGUGUAGCUCUGGCUGACUUGGAACCCUCUCUGUAGAUCAGGUGGGCCCUGAACUUAAAAGAGAUCCACCUGGCUUUGCCAUCUGAGCACUGGGAUUAAAGCACCACAGCUGGGCAUGGUGGCAUACGCCUUUGAUCCCAGCACUUGGAAGGCAGAGGAGGCAGGCAGAUUGCUGUGAGCUCGAGGCCCAGCCUGGUCCACAAAGGGAGGCCGGGAUAGCCAAGCCAACACAGAGAAACCCUGUCUCAAAAAACAAAAAAGAAACCCAAAAUGAAACCAAAAGAUAUGCACCACCACCGCCUGGAAGCUUUCAUGGUUUUAAGUUUAGUCUUUUGCUGCCAGUUGCCAGAUCUGCGUUUCCAGGCUCAUCCUCUUCUAACAGGGGACAGAGGGCACAUUCAUACAGAACUCACAAGAGAAGUUCAGCAAAGCAAGCAUGUACAGCGGUGCGGGCUGCACUGUGGGAGACUGAACCGACAGUGAAUAAAAUACCCUCCAGAUAAGGACAGAUCAAACAGCUGCUUCUUCCAGGACGGAUCGGACAAAGUCAGGUCCAGCCAAGUUGCUAGACCUAGAGAGAAGCCAUACUAAGUGAGCCUUCCAAAUGGAGCUGUGACCUUUGGCCUAGAGACUGCUGACACUCCUGCCUGGCAGGAACGCAGCUGGAGCUGAGAGAGUUCAUCCUGCCCACUCUCCCUUUCUCUACCACCAGAAUCCUUCCCAUGAAGGUCAGGGGAAGGGGGAUCCAUGGGACUGGCUGUGAUAGCGCAUCUCUUGUUCCAGCACUGAGGAACAAGAGAGACUGAAGUGUUCGGGAUGAACCUCAGUAAGAAAACAUUGUCUCAACUGAAAUGGCAACUUUUAAAAGGGUAGACAUGGCAGGACGCAUGAGCGCAAUGGGAACUAUUGCAUUUCACUUGGCGGAACCCACCAGUGGUGGCGCCACCCUCUCCCGAGGACGUCAGAAAAGAUGACAGAGGUCCUGAGUUCAAUUCCCAGCAACCACAUGGCGGCUCCCAACCAUCUAUAAUGAGAUCUGGUGCCCUCUUCUGACAUGGAAUGUAUGUGCAGACAGAGCACUCAUACACAUAAAAAUAAAC